CAAAGGAACGCGGCCCUGGCUAGGAGGCCCUGGCUCCUAGCCGGAGAGAGCAAGCUCAACCUGCCGGCGCUCAGGUGCCCCUCGCCAGCAGCGGCUGCAGCCACCACGUUGCCAUGACAACCAUACCUGGCAGCUCUGCUCUGGGAAGGCUGUGCCGUUCUGGACAAGGAGGGGGAGGGAAAAGAAAUGUGAGUUCAUUUCCUGAGUCUUUUAAACAUUUCUUUGCAGACAGAGCACUGAGAAGCUGUGGCCAGAGGGCAGAGCAGUCGUAGGUAUGCAGCACUCACGGAGGGAAGGUCAGAACUCAUCCCCCACGUGGGCUCUUUCCAGGCCACAGCAGGACGCUGGAUUUAGCAAUGAGACAGCGCUCAAGGAUCUGGAUGCACAUCAAUUCUCCACCUCCCUCCCAAGAAAAUGGUUUUAAGGCCGGUUGUUUUUGGAAUGGGUUUUUCCCUGUUUGUCCAGGCAAGGUUGGACUGUUAAACCAGUUUAUCCUAAAGAGGGCAGAACAUGGACCUGGGGCCCAAGUACUAGGGACACAUGAGAGUUAUGGGAGCAGCCAACACUUGUCAAAGUGCUUUUCCACAUUCAUUAUUUUACCACAUCCAUUAUUUUACUUCUCACAGCAACCCCACGAAGCGAAUGGCAGCAUGCCCAUUCCACAGAACAACAGUCCCAGUUCUGGUUCUGCCUCAUGAAGAUGGCACCUGGCCUCCCAGCUUAGAAGACUGGCCACUGACAAAAGUCUCUGUGACCCCCGCUGUGGCUUCCUCUGCUCUCCUCUGAGACCCAAGGCGGCUUCCAUGGACAGUCGGAACGAGGAAAGUAAAGCAGACAGAAGCACACAGGGGAGAUGGGACUGGAAAGAGGACCCCCUCUACCCCCGCCACGAGCCCCCCACUCCCACCUGCCUUGCCACACUGCAGGCUGAUUCUGCUCUGAUGGGCUUGCUGGUGUCUGCCUUUGAACUUGGUUUUAAACACAAGCAUGUGAGGGCACCUGGGUGGCUUGGUGGUUGAGCAUCUGCCUUUGGCUCAGGUCGUGAUCCCUGAGUAUUGGGAUCGAGUCCCACAUCAGGCUCCCUGCGGGGAGCCUGCUUCUCCAUCUGCCUAUGUC
Long non-coding RNA from Canis lupus familiaris (dog), 1116 nucleotides. RefSeq lists it as uncharacterized. The transcript is spliced from 3 exons. NCBI's taxonomy places the organism in Eukaryota, Metazoa, Chordata, Mammalia, Carnivora, Canidae. The record is from RefSeq and is a predicted model, not a curated record.